GGCUGGUCCUAAGGUACUGAGUUAUCUCAAUUGACUGUUCACAGUCAGUUACAGAUCAACCUCCUCGUUCUACUCUUUCUCUUCUUCCACUACUCCACUUGACUAGUCUGAA
Chlorocebus sabaeus (green monkey) is the source of this 112-nucleotide unclassified non-coding RNA. It matches the Rfam family "Y RNA". From Rfam's summary of the family: Y RNAs are components of the Ro ribonucleoprotein particle (Ro RNP), in association with Ro60 and La proteins. The Y RNAs and Ro60 and La proteins are well conserved, but the function of the Ro RNP is not known. The record is from Ensembl. NCBI's taxonomy places the organism in Eukaryota, Metazoa, Chordata, Mammalia, Primates, Cercopithecidae.